Molecule: ribosomal RNA, 301 nt
Filed under: uncultured bacterium
Lineage: Bacteria
Description: partial 16S ribosomal RNA
Rfam family: Bacterial small subunit ribosomal RNA
Source: RNAcentral
AGCAGCCACGGUAAUACGUAGGUGGCAAGCGUUGUCCGGAAUUAUUGGGCGUAAAGGGCUCGCAGGCGGUUUCUUAAGUCUGAUGUGAAAGCCCCCGGCUCAACCGGGGAGGGUCAUUGGAAACUGGGAAACUUGAGUGCAGAGGAGGAGAGUGGAAUUCCACGUGUAGCGGUGAAAUGCGUAGAGAUGUGGAGGAACACCAGUGGCGAAGGCGACUCUCUGGUCUGUAACUGACGCUGAGGAGCGAAAGCGUGGGGAGCGAACAGGAUUAGAUACCCCAGUAGUCCCUGUCUCUUAUACA